Molecule: ribosomal RNA, 76 nt
Filed under: Thunnus albacares (yellowfin tuna)
Lineage: Eukaryota; Metazoa; Chordata; Actinopteri; Scombriformes; Scombridae
Also listed under: 1 other name
Source: RNAcentral
UCGGAAGCCAAGCAGGGUCGGGCCUGGUUAGUACUUGGACGGGAGACCGCCUGGGAAUACCAGGUGCUGUAAGCUU